This 621-nucleotide ribosomal RNA is filed under the name uncultured bacterium. RNAcentral's name for it is "bacterial SSU rRNA". It matches the Rfam family "Bacterial small subunit ribosomal RNA", at positions 71 to 687 of the family's 1533-position model. The record is from RNAcentral.
AGCACGGGAGCAAUCCUGGUGGCGAGUGGCGAACGGGUGAGUAAUAUAUCGGAACGUGCCCAGUCGUGGGGGAUAACGUAGAGAAAUUUACGCUAAUACCGCAUACGAUCUAAGGAUGAAAGCGGGGGAUCGCAAGACCUCGCGCGAUUGGAGCGGCUGAUAUCAGAUUAGGUUGUUGGUGAGGUAAAAGCUCGCCAAGCCGACGAUCUGUAGCUGGUUUGAGAGAACGACCAGCCACACUGGGACUGAGACACGGCCCAGACUCCUACGGGAGGCAGCAGUGGGGAAUUUUGGACAAUGGGCGAAAGCCUGAUCCAGCAAUGCCGCGUGCAGGAAGAAGGCCUUCGGGUUGUAAACUGCUUUUGUACGGAACGAAACGGUCUGCCCUAAUACGGCGGGCUAAUGACGGUACCGUAAGAAUAAGCACCGGCUAACUACGUGCCAGCAGCCGCGGUAAUACGUAGGGUGCGAGCGUUAAUCGGAAUUACUGGGCGUAAAGCGUGCGCAGGCGGUUAUGUAAGACAGUUGUGAAAUCCCCGGGCUCAACCUGGGAAUUGCAUCUGUGACUGCAUAGCUAGAGUACGGUAGAGGGGGAUGGAAUUCCGCGUGUAGCAGUGAAAU